GACGAACGCUGGCGGCGUGCUUAACACAUGCAAGUCGAACGGAAAGUCCCUGCUUUUGUGGGGUGCUCGAGUUGCGAACGGGUGAGUAACACUUGAGUAACCUGCCCUUGACUGUGGGAUAACUUCAUGAAACUUGGUCUAAUACCGGCUAGGAGCUCCUGCUGCUUGGUGGGGGUUGGAAAGUUUCGGCGGUUGGGGAUGUACUCGCGGCUUAUCAGCUUGUUGGUGGGGUAGUGGAUUACCAAGGCUUUGACCGGUAGCCGGCCUGAGAGGGUGACCGGCCACAUUGGGACUGAGAUACGGCACAGCCUACUCCGGGAGGCAGCAGUGGGGAAUAUUGCACAAUGGGCGGAAGCCUGAUGCAGCAACGCAGCGUGCGGGAUGACGGCAUUCGGGUUGUAAACCGCUUUCGCCUGUGACGAAGCGUGAGUGACGGUAAUGGGUAAAGAAGCACCGGCUAACUACGUG
Molecule: ribosomal RNA, 468 nt
Filed under: uncultured bacterium
Lineage: Bacteria
Description: partial 16S ribosomal RNA
Rfam family: Bacterial small subunit ribosomal RNA
Source: RNAcentral